This 497-nucleotide ribosomal RNA is filed under the name uncultured bacterium. Its description in RNAcentral is "partial 16S ribosomal RNA". It matches the Rfam family "Bacterial small subunit ribosomal RNA", at positions 28 to 507 of the family's 1533-position model. The record is from RNAcentral.
GACGAACGCUGGCGGCGUGCCUAAUACAUGCAAGUUGAGCGCUGAAGGUUGGUACUUGUACCAACUGGAUGAGCAGCGAACGGGUGAGUAACGCGUGGGGAAUCUGCCUUUGAGCGGGGGACAACAUUUGGAAACGAAUGCUAAUACCGCAUAAAAACUUUAAACACAAGUUUCAAGUUUGAAAGAUGCAAUUGCAUCACUCAAAGAUGAUCCCGCGUUGUAUUAGGUAGUUGGGGAGGUAAAGGCUCACCAAGGCGAUGAUACAUAGCCGACCUGAGAGGGUGAUCGGCCAAAUUGGGACUGAGGCACGGCCCAAACUCCUACGGGAGGCAGCAGUAGGGAAUCUUCGGCAAUGGACGAAAGUCUGACCGAGCAACGCCGCGUGAGUGAAGAAGGGUUUCGGAUCGUAAAACUCUGUUGGUAGAGAAGAACGUUGGUGAGAGUGGAAAGCUCAUCAAGUGACGGUAACUACCCAGAAAGGGACGGCUAACUACGUG